CUCAUACCCGCCAUAUACAUCAGCCCAUCGCUGACCAUACCACAUUCACCUUUAUCAUUGACCUGACCUCGUUUCAGCAGACGCUGGCACUAUGCAGCUUCUCUACUUCCGCUGGACUUCUCCACUCUGUGCUGAUGCCUUAACAGGUACUGUCGACUCCUGCCAAUUUCUAGACUGUUCAAGAUGUCCCCGCUGCUGGAAUUCCAAUUUCCUAAAGAAAUAUCUCACAACACCAACAGUACCGAUCAGCAGCAUGUUUUUUUGGACGCUGAUGCCUGGGAAGGAGAUGCUUAUGGGAGGACGACCAUAAACUCAAUAUGAUGAUACAUCGGACCCUGAAAGGAUAUCAGUCUCAGCAAAUUCCCUCAAUGACCGCCACACACAGUACGAUCUCCAUCGACCAAACCAAUUAUGAAGAAAGCCAUCAAGAAAGACUUUCUAUCGUUCACAUAUCACCUAGUUUGCCAACAUUCUCACCCCUCAAAACGAAAAGAUCGCAGCAUACACCAUCCUGCAAGUCAACUUUCACCGCAGAGUGGUCGAUGACUUUGUCGUAGUUGACAACACUAAUCGAAGAAGAAGUGAAGAUGGACCAGGAUUGGCUGUCAAGCUUAAUCGUUGGUUCUUAGCCAAUAGCUAUUAUAGUUUAUAUAUACACCAUUGCCUCGUGUCAUGAAGGACUACCUCUUAUCACAAGUGAUGACAGGACUCGUUUUCUGAUUUUCUAUCAUUACAGAGGACGGCUGACUUUCCAUUGUGCAUUUGCCCUUUGGCCCAUCGGUUCCUUACAGCACCGAUGCUAUAGCAGACAUGCACAUGUCAAUGUCUUGCCUCUUCCCAUGGUUCCAUUCGUCCUCUGUUCCAUUCGUCCUCUUCCUCGUCAUCUUUUGUCAUUUCUCAAUCGUCCAUGACCUAUCAUGUCCCACAGCGAAUACCUGGCCCACCAUGAAGACACAAGUAUCCCAAACUACUGGAUAAAUGAAUCUACAAAAAGCUUUAGUGACGGCUGGGGCUACCAAGUCGAGUCGAUCGAGAACUUCUCCAGGGACUCUAUACGCGCAAGGAGGCUGACCAAACUCAUUGGCUGGGCCAAGAUUCUGAGCUGAGCACAGAAGAGUGGAAGGA
RNAcentral lists this small RNA (1125 nucleotides) under Cryptococcus neoformans H99. RNAcentral describes it as "Cryptococcus neoformans var. grubii H99 hypothetical RNA". Lineage: Eukaryota; Fungi; Basidiomycota; Tremellomycetes; Tremellales; Cryptococcaceae. The record is from RNAcentral.